Molecule: non-coding RNA, 117 nt
Filed under: Homo sapiens (human)
Lineage: Eukaryota; Metazoa; Chordata; Mammalia; Primates; Hominidae
Source: Rfam by way of RNAcentral
GCUGGGCGCGGUGGCUCAUGCCUGUAAUCCCAGCACUUUGGGAGGCUGAGGUGGGUGGAUCACCUGAGGUCAGGAGUUCGAGACCAGCCUGACCAACAUGGUGAAACCCCAUCUCUA